UGGGCUCUGGAUAGUCAACAAAGGG
Molecule: non-coding RNA, 25 nt
Filed under: Mus musculus (house mouse)
Lineage: Eukaryota; Metazoa; Chordata; Mammalia; Rodentia; Muridae
Source: RNAcentral